Molecule: long non-coding RNA, 198 nt
Organism: Melitaea cinxia (Glanville fritillary)
Lineage: Eukaryota; Metazoa; Arthropoda; Insecta; Lepidoptera; Nymphalidae
Exons: 3
Source: RefSeq, a predicted model, not a curated record
UAUAACAUCUUAAAGCUACGGAUCGAAGCAUAGUUACCGCAAGUUGUAUCGUUUGUUGAUCUUGAAAUCGAGAUUAUUUUUACGUACUUCUGUUCGAAAAUAACUUAUAAAGUUGCAAAACGGCGCAUGAAUUGCACUGCCCGCAGCGUUGGAGCUAAGGUGAAGUCAGACGCGGAGCUCAAAGAUUCUUUGCAGGAG